UAUUGUUUGGGGAUGAGCCCGCGUACCAUUAGCUUGUUGGUAGGGUAAUGGCCUACCAAGGCUACGAUGGUUAGCUGGUCUGAGAGGAUGAUCAGCCACACUGGAACUGACACACGGUCCAGACUCCUACGGGAGGCAGCAGUGAGGAAUUUUGCGCAAUGGGGGAAACCCUGACGCAGCAACGCCGCGUGAGUGAUGAAGGCUUUCGGGUCGUAAAGCUCUGUCAAGUGGGAAGAACCCAUAUGGUGUUAAUAUCGCCAUAUGCUGACGGUACCACCGAAGGAAGCACCGGCUAACCCCGUGCCAGCAGCCGCGGUAAUACGGGGGGUGCGAGCGUUAUUCGGAAUUACUGGGCGUAAAGAGCGCGUANGCGGUCUCUUAAGUCANGUGUGAAAGCCCGGGGCUCAACCCCGGAAGUGCACUUGAAACUUAAGAAACUUGAGUAUGGGAGGAGGGAAGUGGAAUUCCCUGGUGUA
RNAcentral lists this ribosomal RNA (476 nucleotides) under uncultured bacterium. RNAcentral's name for it is "bacterial SSU rRNA". It matches the Rfam family "Bacterial small subunit ribosomal RNA", at positions 213 to 677 of the family's 1533-position model. The record is from RNAcentral.